GUGCUUGUGUUGUGUCAGCAGCACAAAUACUAAAGUUAGAACGAUACAGAGAUUAGCUUGGCCCCUCUGCAAGGGUGACACUUAAAUUUGUGCAGCAGUCCAUAUUGUG
Cynocephalus volans (Philippine flying lemur) is the source of this 109-nucleotide small nuclear RNA. The record is from RefSeq and is a predicted model, not a curated record. NCBI's taxonomy places the organism in Eukaryota, Metazoa, Chordata, Mammalia, Dermoptera, Cynocephalidae.